RNAcentral lists this ribosomal RNA (454 nucleotides) under uncultured bacterium. Its description in RNAcentral is "partial 16S ribosomal RNA". It matches the Rfam family "Bacterial small subunit ribosomal RNA", at positions 28 to 507 of the family's 1533-position model. The record is from RNAcentral.
GAUGAACGCUGACAGAAUGCUUAACACAUGCAAGUCUACUUGAACUUCGGUUUGGGUGGCGGACGGGUGAGUAACGCGUAAAGAACUUGCCUCACAGAUAGGGACAACAUUUGGAAACGAAUGCUAAUACCUGAUAUUAUGAUUUUAGGGCAUCCUAGAAUUAUGAAAGCUAUAUGCACUGUGAGAGAGCUUUGCGUCCCAUUAGCUAGUUGGAGAGGUAACGGCUCACCAAGGCGAUGAUGGGUAGCCGGCCUGAGAGGGUGAUCGGCCACAAGGGGACUGAGACACGGCCCUUACUCCUACGUGAGGCAGCAGUGGGGAAUAUUGGACAAUGGACCAAGAGUCUGAUCCAGCAAUUCUGUGUGCACGAUGAAGUUUUUCGGAAUGUAAAGUGCUUUCAGUUGGGAAGAAAAAAAUGACGGUACCAACAGAAGAAGUGACGGCUAAAUACGUG